RNAcentral lists this transfer RNA (46 nucleotides) under Paraleius leontonychus. RNAcentral describes it as "tRNA-Arg(tcg)". Lineage: Eukaryota; Metazoa; Arthropoda; Arachnida; Sarcoptiformes; Scheloribatidae. The record is from RNAcentral.
AGAACUUAAUUUUAGUUUAAAAGUUGAUUUCGAAUCAAUUAAUCUA